This 182-nucleotide non-coding RNA is filed under the name Pandoraea pnomenusa. RNAcentral's name for it is "FMN sequence". It matches the Rfam family "FMN riboswitch aptamer (RFN element)". From Rfam's summary of the family: The RFN element is a highly conserved domain that is found frequently in the 5'-untranslated regions of prokaryotic mRNAs that encode for flavin mononucleotide (FMN) biosynthesis and transport proteins. Lineage: Bacteria; Pseudomonadati; Pseudomonadota; Betaproteobacteria; Burkholderiales; Burkholderiaceae. The record is from RNAcentral.
ACACGUCUUCAGGGCGGGGUGAAAGUCCCCACCGGCGGUAUGUGACACCUCACGCAGCGCGAGCUGCGUGCGUCACGAGCCCGCGAGCGCCUGCCAUCGUUGCUUUCGCGACACCGGCAGGGUCAGCAGAUCUGGUGCGAAGCCAGAGCCGACGGUCAUAGUCCGGAUGAGAGAAGAUGCGU